GUGGGAUCAGUUUUUUUUUUUUUGCUGCACAGUCGCUAUCUAGCCCUGCAGAACUUUACGUUUAUUUAUGUUUUGUCGGUGGUUCAUUAUUAAAUUAUCAUGAACACUAUCCACGCUGAGCUUUGGUCUCACUCAUUCAACGACGGACGUAACACCAUUCUUGAACAUUGGGUCGAAAGUCAUGCAUCCUCCGAUACACAACCCAACCAAGCCGCACUGCUUCUUAGCACAGCCCGCAUCCAACCCGGAAGCCAGCCGCACCGUGUCGGAGGAAACACCGUGCACCUGGCAACCUUGGUUAGCGUGGACUGCACCUGGCCCGCCACAGGAGUCGCUGGUGCGCGAUGAGACUCAGAGGACCAUUAUUAGCAUGUUUUAACCACUCAUAUAUAAACGGUAGAUUAUCGAACACACUUUUUGUUGUGUGUCCGAUAAUCUACCGUUUAUAUAUGAGUGGUUAAAACAUGCUAAUAAUGGUCCUCUGAGUAUAUAAAAAAAUAAAGUUUGGUAUACUUCCACUGGUAUGCCAUCCAGCCCUGGAGUUUUCCCGGACGUAAAGGCUUUAAUUGCAUCUAGAGGUUCCUCUGUAAUUUGGCCUCCACAUGAGGCUUCCUGUACAGAUGUUAAUUUUACAUUAUUAAUAGGAAAAAAUCCAUACAAUUAGCUUAGGUUAGUGGAGAUGGAGGAGACUGAAAAUAAAACGUAUUCUUAAAGUGCUUUACUUCCUCUUUCAAAAUAUUGUUUGGUGAAUCAUGAGUGACUUCAUUUGUAACAAGUUUCAGUAAAAAAAAUGUUGGUAGCAUUUCAAUGUUGAAGAUUGAAAAAUAAUUUGAUGCAUUUUUCCCCAUAUUCCAUCCAGUUCGUUUUUAUUUUUAUAGUAUAUUACACUGGAUCUUUCUUGAAUAAGUUCCUCCAUUUCGUUUAGUUUUUCCUCUAACUUACUCUGAGCCUCUAUGGUACAUUUUUUUUUAUUGCUAUCUAUAUGUACUGUUACUCCUUCAAUUUCCUUUGUUAAUAUGGACUCUUUUGACCUAAAUUGCUUUUGUUUUAUAGAUGCACCAGAACCUUAAUUUAAAAGGCUUCAUUUAAAAAGCUUUCAGAUGCACUGCCUGCGAUGGAACGGAAUUAAAUUAUGUAAAAAGUGAGUUGUGGUUGAAGGAUGGGAAUAAACAAGGUGCACUAAUGUUUAAUUCAUACGGGUACCAAAUCUCCUGCAUUAAACAUGGUUUUCUACAGAGUACGUAAUCUAUUCAGCAUUUUAUUGUUUUGCCUUUAAGACAUAGUUUCAUUGUGGCAGCAAUUAUUGUAAUUGCAAUUACAUCAUGUUUUUAUGAUUUAAUUUUGGUAUUUCCUCAAGCAGUAAACUAGCAAAGUUAAUCAUUUAAAACCAUAUAAUGUAGUUCUUACUUUUCCAUAUGAAAUGUACUUUGUUGAAAACUAACAUUAUGCAUAUAAAAUUGAGUGAUGUUGAAUAAUAUUGCUGAAUAUGGAUUUUAUAAAUCAUUAUUAAUCUAAA
Oncorhynchus tshawytscha (Chinook salmon) is the source of this 1516-nucleotide long non-coding RNA. The record is from Ensembl. NCBI's taxonomy places the organism in Eukaryota, Metazoa, Chordata, Actinopteri, Salmoniformes, Salmonidae.